GAUGAACGCUGGCGGCGUGCCUAAUACAUGCAAGUCGAGCGAACGGACGAGAAGCUUGCUUCUCUGAUGUUAGCGGCGGACGGGUGAGUAACACGUGGAUAACCUACCUAUAAGACUGGGAUAACUUCGGGAAACCGUAGCUAAUACCGGAUAAUCUUUUGACCCGCAUGGUUCAAAAGUGAAAGACGGUCUUGCUGUCACUUAUAGAUGGAUCCGCGCUGCAUUAGCUAGUUGGUAAGGUAACGGCUUACCAAGGCAACGAUGCAUAGCCGACCUGAGAGGGUGAUCGGCCACACUGGAACUGAGACACGGUCCAGACUCCUACGGGAGGCAGCAGUAGGGAAUCUUCCGCAAUGGGCGAAAGCCUGACGGAGCAACGCCGCGUGAGUGAUGAAGGUCUUCGGAUCGUAAAACUCUGUUAUUAGGGAAGAACAUAUGUGUAAGUAACUGUGCACAUCUUGACGGUACCUAAUCAGAAAGCCACGGCUAACUACGUG
RNAcentral lists this ribosomal RNA (497 nucleotides) under uncultured bacterium. RNAcentral's name for it is "partial 16S ribosomal RNA". It matches the Rfam family "Bacterial small subunit ribosomal RNA", at positions 28 to 507 of the family's 1533-position model. The record is from RNAcentral.